CCUCCCCGCCCGGCGGCCGCCAACACCACCGGCGCCGCCUCGCCGCAGGAAUGGUUCCGCCCGCGCCGCCCGGCCGACUCCGACCCCUCCACCUCCGGCGGGCGCGUCGCGGCGCGCGACCCGGGCGUGCGCGUCAGGGCCAAGGACGGCGCCGAGGAAAAGAAGGGGGAACGUAAGAGGAGAUGGUGGGAGCGCUGGUCCAGGGACAAGGAGAGCUACCUGGUCGACGACGUGGAGCCGCUCCCGAUGCCGUUGACCAUCCCGGGGACCGAGCCGAUGUCGCGGGAGGAGCUCGACCGCCGCCUCAGCUGCGACGUGAAGAUCGAUGAAUGCAAGAUGGUUUCGUACGAGUGGACGGGCAAGUGCCGGAGUUGCCAGGGGUCGGGACUGGUGACCUACUUCAGGAAGAAAGGGAAGGAGACCAUCUGCACGUGUGUGCCAUGCGCUGGCAUUGGCUAUGUUCGGAAAAUUACAUACCGAGAGGGAGCUGAAAAUCUGGAUGAGUUAGACAAUGGGAGACCACCCUAA
Molecule: ribosomal RNA, 528 nt
Filed under: Triticum aestivum (bread wheat)
Lineage: Eukaryota; Viridiplantae; Streptophyta; Magnoliopsida; Poales; Poaceae
Description: partial small subunit ribosomal RNA
Source: RNAcentral